GUCGCAGGUUCGAAUCCUGCACGACCCACCAAUAUACAAGGUGGUAACUGGUAGAGAACGUGAAGGUUAACGUUGCUUUAGCAACGGCCCGAAGGGCGAGGCGAAGCCGAGUCAUCCUGCACGACCCACCA
Molecule: small RNA, 131 nt
Filed under: Salmonella enterica
Lineage: Bacteria; Pseudomonadati; Pseudomonadota; Gammaproteobacteria; Enterobacterales; Enterobacteriaceae
Also listed under: 2 other names
Description: partial RtT sRNA
Rfam family: RtT RNA
About the family: This family represents a bacterial cis-regulatory element known as RtT RNA. The exact function of RtT is unknown although it is thought that it may be involved in changing the cellular response in relation to amino acid starvation.
Source: RNAcentral